UACGUAGGGUCCAAGCGUUAAUCGGAAUUACUGGGCGUAAAGCGUGCGCAGGCGGUUGUGCAAGACCGAUGUGAAAUCCCCGAGCUUAACUUGGGAAUUGCAUUGGUGACUGCACGGCUAGAGUGUGUCAGAGGGGGGUAGAAUUCCACGUGUAGCAGUGAAAUGCGUAGAGAUGUGGAGGAAGACCGAUGGCGAAGGCAGCCCCCUGGGAUAACACUGACGCUCAUGCGCGAAAGCGUGGGGAG
RNAcentral lists this ribosomal RNA (245 nucleotides) under uncultured bacterium. Its description in RNAcentral is "partial 16S ribosomal RNA". It matches the Rfam family "Bacterial small subunit ribosomal RNA", at positions 524 to 768 of the family's 1533-position model. The record is from RNAcentral.